GGAGAUAUAGCUCAGUGAUAGAGUAGUUGCCUCACAUGUAUAUGGCUGUGGGUUCAAUCCCUUGUAUCAUUA
This 72-nucleotide transfer RNA is filed under the name Heterocephalus glaber (naked mole-rat). It matches the Rfam family "tRNA". From Rfam's summary of the family: Transfer RNA (tRNA) molecules are approximately 80 nucleotides in length. Their secondary structure includes four short double-helical elements and three loops (D, anti-codon, and T loops). Lineage: Eukaryota; Metazoa; Chordata; Mammalia; Rodentia; Bathyergidae. The record is from Rfam by way of RNAcentral.